AUUGAACGCUGGCGGCAUGCCUUACACAUGCAAGUCGAACGGUAACAGGUCUUCGGAUGCUGACGGGUGGCGAACGGGUGAGUAAUACAUCGGAACGUGCCUAGUAGUGGGGGAUAACUACUCGAAAGAGUGGCUAAUACCGCAUGAGAUCUACGGAUGAAAGCAGGGGAUCGCAAGACCUUGUGCUACUAGAGCGGCCGAUGGCAGAUUAGGUAGUUGGUGUGAUAAAAGCUUACCAAGCCGACGAUCUGUAGCUGGUCUGAGAGGACGAUCAGCCACACUGGGACUGAGACACGGCCCAGACUCCUACGGGAGGCAGCAGUGGGGAAUUUUGGACAAUGGGCGAAAGCCUGAUCCAGCAAUGCCGCGUGCAGGAUGAAGGCCUUCGGGUUGUAAACUGCUUUUGUACGGAACGAAAAGCCCCGGGUUAAUACCCUGGGGUCAUGACGGUACCGUAAGAAUAAGCACCGGCUGACUACGUGCCAGCAGCCGCAGUAA
This 498-nucleotide ribosomal RNA is filed under the name uncultured bacterium. RNAcentral describes it as "partial 16S ribosomal RNA". It matches the Rfam family "Bacterial small subunit ribosomal RNA", at positions 30 to 523 of the family's 1533-position model. The record is from RNAcentral.